RNAcentral lists this ribosomal RNA (2324 nucleotides) under Escherichia coli. Its description in RNAcentral is "partial 23S ribosomal RNA". It matches the Rfam family "Bacterial large subunit ribosomal RNA", at positions 548 to 2852 of the family's 2925-position model. The record is from RNAcentral. Lineage: Bacteria; Pseudomonadati; Pseudomonadota; Gammaproteobacteria; Enterobacterales; Enterobacteriaceae.
ACCUGAAACCGUGUACGUACAAGCAGUGGGAGCCUCUUUAUGGGGUGACUGCGUACCUUUUGUAUAAUGGGUCAGCGACUUAUAUUCUGUAGCAAGGUUAACCGAAUAGGGGAGCCGAAGGGAAACCGAGUCUUAACUGGGCGUUAAGUUGCAGGGUAUAGACCCGAAACCCGGUGAUCUAGCCAUGGGCAGGUUGAAGGUUGGGUAACACUAACUGGAGGACCGAACCGACUAAUGUUGAAAAAUUAGCGGAUGACUUGUGGCUGGGGGUGAAAGGCCAAUCAAACCGGGAGAUAGCUGGUUCUCCCCGAAAGCUAUUUAGGUAGCGCCUCGUGAAUUCAUCUCCGGGGGUAGAGCACUGUUUCGGCAAGGGGGUCAUCCCGACUUACCAACCCGAUGCAAACUGCGAAUACCGGAGAAUGUUAUCACGGGAGACACACGGCGGGUGCUAACGUCCGUCGUGAAGAGGGAAACAACCCAGACCGCCAGCUAAGGUCCCAAAGUCAUGGUUAAGUGGGAAACGAUGUGGGAAGGCCCAGACAGCCAGGAUGUUGGCUUAGAAGCAGCCAUCAUUUAAAGAAAGCGUAAUAGCUCACUGGUCGAGUCGGCCUGCGCGGAAGAUGUAACGGGGCUAAACCAUGCACCGAAGCUGCGGCAGCGACACUAUGUGUUGUUGGGUAGGGGAGCGUUCUGUAAGCCUGUGAAGGUGGCCUGUGAGGGUUGCUGGAGGUAUCAGAAGUGCGAAUGCUGACAUAAGUAACGAUAAAGCGGGUGAAAAGCCCGCUCGCCGGAAGACCAAGGGUUCCUGUCCAACGUUAAUCGGGGCAGGGUGAGUCGACCCCUAAGGCGAGGCCGAAAGGCGUAGUCGAUGGGAAACAGGUUAAUAUUCCUGUACUUGGUGUUACUGCGAAGGGGGGACGGAGAAGGCUAUGUUGGCCGGGCGACGGUUGUCCCGGUUUAAGCGUGUAGGCUGGUUUUCCAGGCAAAUCCGGAAAACCAAGGCUGAGGCGUGAUGACGAGGCACUACGGUGCUGAAGCGACAAAUGCCCUGCUUCCAGGAAAAGCCUCUAAGCAUCAGGUAACAUCAAAUCGUACCCCAAACCGACACAGGUGGUCAGGUAGAGAAUACCAAGGCGCUUGAGAGAACUCGGGUGAAGGAACUAGGCAAAAUGGUGCCGUAACUUCGGGAGAAGGCACGCUGAUAUGUAGGUGAAGCGACUUGCUCGUGGAGCUGAAAUCAGUCGAAGAUACCAGCUGGCUGCAACUGUUUAUUAAAAACACAGCACUGUGCAAACACGAAAGUGGACGUAUACGGUGUGACGCCUGCCCGGUGCCGGAAGGUUAAUUGAUGGGGUUAGCGGUAACGCGAAGCUCUUGAUCGAAGCCCCGGUAAACGGCGGCCGUAACUAUAACGGUCCUAAGGUAGCGAAAUUCCUUGUCGGGUAAGUUCCGACCUGCACGAAUGGCGUAAUGAUGGCCAGGCUGUCUCCACCCGAGACUCAGUGAAAUUGAACUCGCUGUGAAGAUGCAGUGUACCCGCGGCAAGACGGAAAGACCCCGUGAACCUUUACUAUAGCUUGACACUGAACAUUGAGCCUUGAUGUGUAGGAUAGGUGGGAGGCUUUGAAGUGUGGACGCCAGUCUGCAUGGAGCCGACCUUGAAAUACCACCCUUUAAUGUUUGAUGUUCUAACGUUGGCCCGUAAUCCGGGUUGCGGACAGUGUCUGGUGGGUAGUUUGACUGGGGCGGUCUCCUCCUAAAGAGUAACGGAGGAGCACGAAGGUUGGCUAAUCCUGGUCGGACAUCAGGAGGUUAGUGCAAUGGCAUAAGCCAGCUUGACUGCGAGCGUGACGGCGCGAGCAGGUGCGAAAGCAGGUCAUAGUGAUCCGGUGGUUCUGAAUGGAAGGGCCAUCGCUCAACGGAUAAAAGGUACUCCGGGGAUAACAGGCUGAUACCGCCCAAGAGUUCAUAUCGACGGCGGUGUUUGGCACCUCGAUGUCGGCUCAUCACAUCCUGGGGCUGAAGUAGGUCCCAAGGGUAUGGCUGUUCGCCAUUUAAAGUGGUACGCGAGCUGGGUUUAGAACGUCGUGAGACAGUUCGGUCCCUAUCUGCCGUGGGCGCUGGAGAACUGAGGGGGGCUGCUCCUAGUACGAGAGGACCGGAGUGGACGCAUCACUGGUGUUCGGGUUGUCAUGCCAAUGGCACUGCCCGGUAGCUAAAUGCGGAAGAGAUAAGUGCUGAAAGCAUCUAAGCACGAAACUUGCCCCGAGAUGAGUUCUCCCUGAGACUUAGAGUCUCCUGAAGGAACGUUGAAGACGACGACG